Molecule: ribosomal RNA, 421 nt
Filed under: uncultured bacterium
Lineage: Bacteria
Description: bacterial SSU rRNA
Rfam family: Bacterial small subunit ribosomal RNA
Source: RNAcentral
UAAGGAAUAUUGGUCAAUGGACGCAAGUCUGAACCAGCCAUGCCGCGUGAAGGAUGAAGGUCCUCUGGAUUGUAAACUUCUUUUAUCUGGGACGAAAACGGGAUUUUUAUCUCAAUUGACGGUACCAGAGGAAUAAGCACCGGCUAACUCCGUGCCAGCAGCCGCGGUAAUACGGAGGGUGCGAGCGUCAUCCGGAUUUACUGGGUUUAAAGGGUGCGUAGGUGGGCAGGUAAGUCAGUGGUGAAAUCUCCGGGCUUAACCCGGAAACUGCCGUUGAUACUAUUUGUCUUGAAUAUUGUGGAGGUAAGCGGAAUAUGUCAUGUAGCGGUGAAAUGCUUAGAUAUGACAUAGAACACCAAUUGCGAAGGCAGCUUACUACACAAUCAUUGACGCUGAGGCACGAAAGCGUGGGGAUCAAACA